GUUAAAAAGCUCGUAGUUGGAUUUCUGGGAGGUUGCCAAUGUCCGCCGACGUGCGUGUGCAGCGGCGACCUCUCAUCCUUCUGUUAACGCCUCUUGGCAUUCAUUUGCUGGUGGCGGGCUCAGAUAUUUUACCUAGAGAAAAUUAGAGUGUUUCAGGCAGGCUAGGCCGGAAUACAUUAGCAUGGAAUAAUGGAAUAGGACUACGGUCUCUUUGUUGGUUUGAGGGACUGCAGUAAUGAUUAAUAGGGAUAGUUGGGGGCAUUAGUAUUUAAUAGUCAGAGGUGGAAUUCUCGGAUUUGUUAAAGACUAACUUAUGCGAAAGCAUUUGCCAAGGAUGUUUUCAUUAAUCAAGAACGAAAGUUAGGGGAUCAAAGACGAUC
This 380-nucleotide ribosomal RNA is filed under the name uncultured eukaryote. RNAcentral describes it as "SSU rRNA". It matches the Rfam family "Eukaryotic small subunit ribosomal RNA", at positions 618 to 1009 of the family's 1831-position model. The record is from RNAcentral.